GGGGGGUUGGGGGGGGAGAAUAUGGGGAGAUAAGUGAGAUACCAGCCGAGCUUUCGGGGUGGGGGGUGCUUGAGAGGAUAUGUAUGUGUGUGCGAGGUCUGGAUGGUGCUGUGCGUGUGGACUUGGAUCAGACACGGGAGACACACGGAGGAGAGAAAAGCUCCGUGCUGGCACGACCCAGGCAAUCGGUUUAGGCACUAAAGCACAUCUGAUGAGAAUCCUGCCGCGUGGAGCUGCAGGGAGGCCGGCAGAUGGUUGUGUCCUACCAGAAUGUGCAAGAAGAUUCUUUCUCACCUGGCAAAGGAAUGGGAAGCAAAUAAACCAAAUCAGGUGA
This 334-nucleotide long non-coding RNA is filed under the name Ficedula albicollis (Collared flycatcher). RNAcentral describes it as "lncRNA (ENSFALG00000028131.1)". Lineage: Eukaryota; Metazoa; Chordata; Aves; Passeriformes; Muscicapidae. The record is from RNAcentral.